UACGUAGGGACCGAGCGUUGUCCGGAAUCAUUGGGCGUAAAGAGCGUGUAGGCGGCCACUUAAGUCCUGCGUGAAAUCCCUCGGCUUAACCGGGGAACUGCGUCUGAUACUGGAUGGCUCGAGUUUGGGAGAGGGAUGCGGAAUUCCAGGUGUAGCGGUGAAAUGCGUAGAUAUCUGGAGGAACACCGGUGGCGAAGGCGGCAUCCUGGACCAACACUGACGCUGAUGAGCGAAAGCCAGGGGAGCAAACGGG
This 253-nucleotide ribosomal RNA is filed under the name uncultured bacterium. Its description in RNAcentral is "partial 16S ribosomal RNA". It matches the Rfam family "Bacterial small subunit ribosomal RNA", at positions 524 to 776 of the family's 1533-position model. The record is from RNAcentral.